This 72-nucleotide transfer RNA is filed under the name Candidatus Staskawiczbacteria bacterium RIFCSPHIGHO2_01_FULL_41_41. Its description in RNAcentral is "tRNA-Arg". It matches the Rfam family "tRNA". Rfam says of the family: Transfer RNA (tRNA) molecules are approximately 80 nucleotides in length. Their secondary structure includes four short double-helical elements and three loops (D, anti-codon, and T loops). Further hydrogen bonds mediate the characteristic L-shaped molecular structure. tRNAs have two regions of fundamental functional importance: the anti-codon, which is responsible for specific mRNA codon recognition, and the 3' end, to which the tRNAs corresponding amino acid is attached (by aminoacyl-tRNA synthetases). tRNAs cope with the degeneracy of the genetic code in two manners: having more than one tRNA (with a specific anti-codon) for a particular amino acid; and 'wobble' base-pairing, i.e. permitting non-standard base-pairing at the 3rd anti-codon position. Lineage: Bacteria; Candidatus Staskawicziibacteriota. The record is from RNAcentral. RNAcentral also lists the same sequence under 2 other names.
GCCCCUAUAGUUUAACGGAUAGAAUGCAGGGUUCCGAAUCCUGUGAUGGAAGUUCGAUUCUUCCUGGGGGCA